GUUUAAUUCUGGCUGUACACGUCAAGAGUAGCUCUGAUAAGUGGUAACGCCACAAGAGUGACAGGAUCUUCUGAAAAAAAUGAGAGCCUGUUAUUGGAAUGAGCUGCCUGACUCCUGGAUUUGAGGGAAAUGUCUGAUUAGUAGACAGGCCCCAGAAGCUGUGAGGGGCACUCGCACGCGACCAAGGCACCUGUUUCCAAGCAGCUUGCUCAGGAUCUGGCAUACCCCAGUGCCAAUAUCUGCAAUGUGGUCCUGAUGCGGUACGGGGAGCUGGAGGAAGGGAUUGAUGUCCUGGACAGCGAUGGCAACCUCGUGGGCUCCUCCAAGAUUGCAGCCCGACACGCCCUGCUGGAGACGGCGCUGACGCGAGUGGUCCUGCCCAUGCCCAUCCUGGUGCUACCCCCGAUCGUCAUGUCCAUGCUGGAGAAGACGGCUCUCCUGCAGGCACGCCCCCGGCUGCUCCUCCCUGUGCAAAGCCUCGUGUGCCUGGCAGCCUUCGGCCUGGCCCUGCCGCUGGCCAUCAGCCUCUUCCCGCAAAUGUCAGAGAUUGAAACAUCCCAAUUAGAGCCGGAGAUAGCCCAGGCCACGAGCAGCCGGACAGUGGUGUACAACAAGGGGUUGUGAGUGUGGUCAGCGGCCUGGGGACGGAGCACUGUGCAGCCGGGGAGCUGAGGGGCAGGGCCGUAGACUCACGGCUGCACCUGCAGGGAGCAGCACGCCAACCCCAGCAGUCCUGGGCCCCCUGGGAGAGUGCUCAACCUACAGUGGAGGGAGACUGACCCAUUCACAUUUUAACAUAGGCAAGAGGAGUUCUAACACAUUUCGUACAAAAAAAUAAUCAAGUGCAUUUCUGGGCCUUAUGUGGGGUUGUCAAAACUCCACUCAGCACAAUUAUGUGUGAAGCUG
This 906-nucleotide small RNA is filed under the name Pan troglodytes (chimpanzee). RNAcentral describes it as "processed transcript". The record is from RNAcentral. Lineage: Eukaryota; Metazoa; Chordata; Mammalia; Primates; Hominidae.